UACGUAGGGGGCAAGCGUUAUCCGGAUUUACUGGGUGUAAAGGGAGUGUAGACGGCACUGCAAGUCAGAUGUGAAAGCCCGGGGCUCAACCCCGGGACUGCAUUUGAAACUGCCGUGCUGGAGUGCAGGAGAGGAAAGUGGAAUUCCUAGUGUAGCGGUGAAAUGCGUAGAUAUUAGGAAGAACACCAGUGGCGAAGGCGGCUUUCUGGACUGUAACUGACGUUGAGGCUCGAAAGCGUGGGGAGCAAAC
Molecule: ribosomal RNA, 250 nt
Filed under: uncultured prokaryote
Description: partial 16S ribosomal RNA
Rfam family: Bacterial small subunit ribosomal RNA
Source: RNAcentral